Non-coding RNA from Schistosoma rodhaini, 45 nucleotides. NCBI's taxonomy places the organism in Eukaryota, Metazoa, Platyhelminthes, Trematoda, Strigeidida, Schistosomatidae. The record is from Rfam.
AUCCAGUUGAUGAGUCCAAAACAGAAAGAAAUGCGCGUCUUGGAU